RNAcentral lists this ribosomal RNA (729 nucleotides) under Natrinema sp. RNAcentral's name for it is "bacterial SSU rRNA". It matches the Rfam family "Archaeal small subunit ribosomal RNA", at positions 76 to 804 of the family's 1478-position model. Lineage: Archaea; Methanobacteriati; Methanobacteriota; Halobacteria; Halobacteriales; Natrialbaceae. The record is from RNAcentral.
UCGUAGCAGAUAGCUCAGUAACACGUGGCCAAACUACCCUAUGGAUCCGAAUAACCUCGGGAAACUGAGGCUAAUGCGGAAUAGCGUUCAUCGCCUGGAGUGGUACGAACGCGAAACGUUACGGCGCCAUAGGAUGUGGCUGCGGCCGAUUAGGUAGACGGUGGGGUAACGGCCCACCGUGCCCAUAAUCGGUACGGGUUGUGAGAGCAAGAGCCCGGAGACGGUAUCUGAGACAAGAUACCGGGCCCUACGGGGCGCAGCAGGCGCGAAACCUUUACACUGCACGCGAGUGCGAUAAGGGGACUCCGAGUGCGAGGGCAUAUAGUCCUCGCUUUUCACGACCGUAAGGUGGUCGUAGAAUAAGUGCUGGGCAAGACCGGUGCCAGCCGCCGCGGUAAUACCGGCAGCACGAGUGAUGACCGCUAUUAUUGGGCCUAAAGCGUCCGUAGCUGGCCACGCAAGUCUAUCGGGAAAUCCGCGCGCUUAACGCGCGGGCGUCCGGUGGAAACUGCGUGGCUUGGGACCGGAAGACCAGAGGGGUACGUCCGGGGUAGGAGUGAAAUCCCGUAAUCCUGGACGGACCACCGGUGGCGAAAGCGCCUCUGGAAGACGGAUCCGACGGUGAGGGACGAAAGCUCGGGUCACGAACCGGAUUAGAUACCCGGGUAGUCCGAGCUGUAAACGAUGUCUGCUAGGUGUGGCACAGGCUACGAGCCUGUGCUGUGCCGU